This 74-nucleotide transfer RNA is filed under the name Propionibacteriaceae bacterium. RNAcentral's name for it is "tRNA-Leu". It matches the Rfam family "tRNA". From Rfam's summary of the family: Transfer RNA (tRNA) molecules are approximately 80 nucleotides in length. Their secondary structure includes four short double-helical elements and three loops (D, anti-codon, and T loops). Further hydrogen bonds mediate the characteristic L-shaped molecular structure. tRNAs have two regions of fundamental functional importance: the anti-codon, which is responsible for specific mRNA codon recognition, and the 3' end, to which the tRNAs corresponding amino acid is attached (by aminoacyl-tRNA synthetases). tRNAs cope with the degeneracy of the genetic code in two manners: having more than one tRNA (with a specific anti-codon) for a particular amino acid; and 'wobble' base-pairing, i.e. permitting non-standard base-pairing at the 3rd anti-codon position. Lineage: Bacteria; Bacillati; Actinomycetota; Actinomycetes; Propionibacteriales; Propionibacteriaceae. The record is from RNAcentral.
GUCCCCAUAGCCCAAUUGGUAGAGGCAAGCGGCUUAAACCCGCUCCAGUACCGGUUCGAACCCGGUUGGGGAUA